CAGUCACCACGGGAAUACAGAGGGUGCGAGCGUUAAUCGGAUUUACUGGGCGUAAAGCGCACGCAGGCGGUUUGUUAAGUCAGAUGUGAAAUCCCCGAGCUUAACUUGGGAACUGCAUUUGAAACUGGCAAGCUAGAGUCUUGUAGAGGGGGGUAGAAUUCCAGGUGUAGCGGUGAAAUGCGUAGAGAUCUGGAGGAAUACCGGUGGCGAAGGCGGCCCCCUGGACAAAGACUGACGCUCAGGUGCGAAAGCGUGGGGAGCAAACAGGAUUAGAUACCCCGGUAGUCCCUGUCUCUUAUAC
Molecule: ribosomal RNA, 301 nt
Filed under: uncultured bacterium
Lineage: Bacteria
Description: partial 16S ribosomal RNA
Rfam family: Bacterial small subunit ribosomal RNA
Source: RNAcentral